Molecule: non-coding RNA, 1235 nt
Organism: Arachis ipaensis
Lineage: Eukaryota; Viridiplantae; Streptophyta; Magnoliopsida; Fabales; Fabaceae
Source: RefSeq, a predicted model, not a curated record
UAUUUAGGAUAAAAAUAGGAUAUGUUAAACGUUAGACUCAGAAUUAGGAUUUAAUCUAAAAGUUAGGAACUAAAACAGUACUUUAAAGAAAAAAAAAAAACAGAGAAUAUUACUUAGUGGAUUUUAAUAUGAUCUAUAUGAUUUCUUCCCUUAUUCUUUGCUUGUAAGGUUACAAUUCACUCUAACAUACUGAAAAAGUGGAAUGACAUAUUCCAAGAUGCAGUAUGCUACACAUUUUUCACUCUAGAUGUGUAAUUAAUACUCAAGUUAUUGAAUUACAAGUUUUCUACCACCCCACUCAACUUUUGAUUCACAAAUACAACAUUGAAACUGCAGAAGAAAUAAAACAGCAGUUGAAAUUUAAGACCUGCAGAAGCUGGUAAUAUAAACACAUCUCUUAUAGGAGAUAUCAAUCACAUAAAAGUAAGAUCAAUAAGAUUGCCUUUGAAUUCUAUCUCUAUGACAAGAAUACAGAUAUAGAAAACACCAAGACUUGUAUUUUUCGGUCUCUGGGAAGGAAAGAAAAAUUUGUUUCUCUAUCAGUAUCUCUACAACAAAAAAAUUCUGUAUCUACUUAGUAUUUACUUUUAGAGACUAGAAUUGAGACUGAAGAACUAGGACUCAGUAUUGUGUUUGGUGGUUAUAAACUGGAACUAAAAUUUCAGUUCCAAGAUACAAAAUUUUAGUUUCUUCAGUACUUCCAAAAGGUGGAGACAGAAGGGACUGAAAUUUCUAGGAUUAGAGAUUGAAAUUUUAACAUUUCUUUUCAAAAAUACUCUCAUGAAACUUUUUAAAUCCUAAAUCUACUCCUCAAUCUUCACAUUUAUCUUAAACCAAAUACGAUACUUAGACAUAACUCAGUCUAGUACAUUUUACACCAAACACAAUACAGAGACUUAAUUUAGUCUCUAUCUCUCAAUCUCUAUUUCCCCGUCUUUGUCUCUCAAUCUCAGUCUCCUUUCUAAACAUAGCCUAAGAGAUCAAAUUUAUAUAUUGUGUGUUGAGUGAUAUGUACAGACAUGUUUCAGAAAAUAACCACAUACUAAGAUAAAAUUUGGUUUUCCUUAUGGAUCAAACUACUCUAAUCUUUCUGAAUCCGCUAGAUCGAGAAAAUAACCCCACGGCAUUUGAUGUAUACACCAAAAAGAGCCAACAAGAGAUUGUUUUCAAUACCAACCAUAUGAAGAAAUAGACUUUUCAUUGCACUCAAAUUCUGGUAUUAGUAGCUGUCUUCU